UUUUGUGUGCGCCCCCGCGCGCGUAAUACCGGCGAGCUCAAGUGAUGACCGAUAUUAUUGGGCGUAUAGCGUCUGUAGCCGGCCACGAAGGUUCAUCGGGAAAUCCGCCAGCUCAACUGGCGGGCGUCCGGUGAAAACCACGUGGCUUGGGACCGGAAGGCUCGAGGGGUACGUCCGGGGUAGGAGUGAAAUCCCGUAAUCCUGGACGGACCACCGAUGGCGAAAGCACCUCGAGAAGACGGAUCCGACGGUGAGGGACGAAAGCUAGGGUCUCGAACCGGAUUAGAUACCCGGGUAGUCCUAGCUGUAAACGAUGCUCGCUAGGUGUGACACAGGCUACGAGCCUGUGUUGUGCCGUAGGGAAGCCGAGAAGCGAGCCGCCUGGGAAGUACGUCCGCAAGGAUGAAACUUAAAGGAAUUGGCGGGGGAGCACUACAACCGGAGGAGCCUGCGGUUUAAUUGGACUCAACGCCGGACAUCUCACCAGCUCCGACUACAGUGAUGACGAUCAGGUUGAUGACCUUAUCACGACGCUGUAGAGAGGAGGUGCAUGGCCGCCGUCAGCUCGUACCGUGAGGCGUCCUGUUAAGUCAGGCAACGAGCGAGACCCGCACUUCUAAUUGCCAGCAGCAGUUUCGACUGGCUGGGUACAUUAGAAGGACUGCCGCUGCUAAAGCGGAGGAAGGAACGGGCAACGGUAGGUCAGUAUGCCCCGAAUGAGCUGGGCUACACGCGGGCUACAAUGGUCGAGACAAUGGGUUGCUAUCUCGAAAGAGAACGCUAAUCUCCUAAACUCGAUCGUAGUUCGGAUUGAGGGCUGAAACUCGCCCUCAUGAAGCUGGAUUCGGUAGUAAUCGCAUCAUUCAAUAGAGUGCGUGAUACUUCUCGCGCGCGACAUA
Molecule: ribosomal RNA, 899 nt
Filed under: Haloferax sp. KK2
Lineage: Archaea; Methanobacteriati; Methanobacteriota; Halobacteria; Halobacteriales; Haloferacaceae
Description: bacterial SSU rRNA
Rfam family: Archaeal small subunit ribosomal RNA
Source: RNAcentral